RNAcentral lists this ribosomal RNA (478 nucleotides) under uncultured bacterium. Its description in RNAcentral is "partial 16S ribosomal RNA". It matches the Rfam family "Bacterial small subunit ribosomal RNA", at positions 28 to 523 of the family's 1533-position model. The record is from RNAcentral.
GACGAACGCUGGCGGCGUGCUUAACACAUGCAAGUCGAACGGAAAGGCCCUUCGGGGUACUCGAGUGGCGAACGGGUGAGUAACACGUGGGUGAUCUGCCCUGCACUUUGGGAUAAGCCUGGGAAACUGGGUCUAAUACCGAAUAGGACCACGGCCUUCGUGGGUUGGGGUGGAAAGCUUUUGCGGUGUGGGAUGGGCCCGCGGCCUAUCAGCUUGUUGGUGGGGUAAUGGCCUACCAAGGCGACAACGGGUAGCCGGCCUGGGAGGGUGUCCGGCCACACUGGGACUGAGAUACGGCCCAGACUCCUACGGGAGGCAGCAGUGGGGAAUAUUGCACAAUGGGCGCAAGCCUGAUGCAGCGACGCCGCGUGAGGGAUGACGGCCUUCGGGUUGUAAACCUCUUUCAGCAGGGACGAAGCGCAAGUGACGGUACCUGUAGAAGAAGGACCGGCCAACUACGUGCCAGCAGCCGCCGUAA